This 274-nucleotide ribosomal RNA is filed under the name uncultured bacterium. Its description in RNAcentral is "partial 16S ribosomal RNA". It matches the Rfam family "Bacterial small subunit ribosomal RNA", at positions 523 to 796 of the family's 1533-position model. The record is from RNAcentral.
AUACGGAGGAUGCGAGCGUUAUCCGGAUUUAUUAGGUUUAAAGGGUGUGUAGGCGGUAUUUUAAGUCAGUGGUGAAAUCUCGGAGCUUAACUUCGAAACUGCCAUUGAUACUGGAAUACUUGAGUAUAGUUGAGGUAGGCGGAAUAUGUAAUGUAGCGGUGAAAUGCAUAGAUAUUACAUAGAGCACCGAUUGCGAAGGCAGCUUACUAAACUAUUACUGACGCUGAUGCACGAAAGCGUGGGGAGCGAACAGAAUUAGAAACCCUAGUAGUCC